This 504-nucleotide ribosomal RNA is filed under the name Triticum aestivum (bread wheat). RNAcentral describes it as "partial small subunit ribosomal RNA". The record is from RNAcentral. Lineage: Eukaryota; Viridiplantae; Streptophyta; Magnoliopsida; Poales; Poaceae.
AUGAUGCAGUCUUCCUUCAAACCUCAGAGAUUCUACACAAGUGUUGGUAGAUGCCAGAUCCUGCUGACACAAUAUAAAUCUUCAAAAGAGAGGUUGUGCAGCACUGCAGUUUUACUGUUAGCUGGUUCCUUCCUUGCAACAAUGCAAGAAGAUCUGAAGAUGUACACCACUUUUUUUUUGGUUUGUUCAGCAGAGAUGGGGAGGCUAGAUUUUUGUAGAUUAUGCCCAGAAGAUAUUAUUUCAAGAGAUAUCUUCCUGCUUAACAUCACAGGAUAUUUCACGGAGCGAUUAUGUCGAUUCCUCGCCUUUUCGGCACAAUGUGUCCAUCAAAGCAACAACAUUUCACAUAUCAUCCAUUACACAAUCAAGCUCACAGGUCCAAUCCUUUUGCACGGUAUAAAUUAUUCCUUCUCAAUUCCAUUCUCAGUCUUGUUUUGCACACUCAGUCAGUCAGUACAGGGUUCAGUCAAUCGGGCCGGCAUGAAGAACGCAACAGAUAAAUAA